AAAAACUAUUUGGGAACCUUGUAAAUAGGAGUUGCAAAUCCCGCCACAAACUUAAUAAUUUUGUCUUGAAUUAAAAAAAAUUAAAAUAAAAUGGAUAGACGACUGCGACUAAAUGAAGUAAAGAAUUUUUCGAUGUUUUCUACACAGCAUCUCUGUGACUGGCUUAAAAGACUUUAUUCUCUUGUCCAGGCUGGGGGAAACCAAUAUCUACCAGUUUUACAAAUCGAAUUUCUUGAACAAGAGAUCCAAUUCAGAAAGGACUUACAUGAAGUUGAAAUUAAAAUGAAAAAACUUUCUUUAGAAGACCGUCAAGACCAGUACAGUCAACAUCCUAUUACUUUUAUGGAAGCCCAUGUGGUAGUGACGAAUACUUCUGUUCAAGAACCAAAUACAUAUAACAGCAUGGAAUAAUGUAAAAUUGAGUGAUUAUUACAGUCUUAGAAGCAUGCUCUGUAUUAAAAAUUCACUCAAUUUUGCAAACUCACCUUAUAUCUAAUGUAUUGAUUAGUUCACUUAGUUACUAAAUGUUGUAAAUUAAAGUUUGUUAAUGUAA
This is a long non-coding RNA of Anthonomus grandis grandis, 553 nucleotides long. RefSeq lists it as uncharacterized. The record is from RefSeq and is a predicted model, not a curated record. The transcript is spliced from 3 exons. NCBI's taxonomy places the organism in Eukaryota, Metazoa, Arthropoda, Insecta, Coleoptera, Curculionidae.